Molecule: ribosomal RNA, 610 nt
Filed under: uncultured bacterium
Lineage: Bacteria
Description: bacterial SSU rRNA
Rfam family: Bacterial small subunit ribosomal RNA (bases 1-517)
Source: RNAcentral
CCUACGGGAGGCAGCAGUGGGGAAUAUUGGACAAUGGGCGAAAGCCUGAUCCAGCAAUGCCGCGUGAGUGAUGAAGGCCUUAGGGUUGUAAAACUCUUUUACCAGGGAUGAUAAUGACAGUACCUGGAGAAUAAGCUCCGGCUAACUCCGUGCCAGCAGCCGCGGUAAUACGGAGGGAGCUAGCGUUGUUCGGAAUUACUGGGCGUAAAGAGUACGUAGGCGGUGAUUCAAGUCAGAGGUGAAAGCCUGGAGCUCAACUCCAGAACUGCCUUUGAAACUAGAUCGCUAGAAUUGUGGAGAGGUUAGUGGAAUUCCGAGUGUAGAGGUGAAAUUCGUAGAUAUUCGGAAGAACACCAGUGGCGAAGGCGACUAACUGGACACAUAUUGACGCUGAGGUACGAAAGCGUGGGGAGCAAACAGGAUUAGAUACCCUGGUAGUCCACGCCGUAAACGAUGAUAACUAGCUGUUCGGGGUCUACGAUCCUGAGUGGCGCNGCUACGCAUUAAGUUAUCCGCCGUCGGGAGGUACGGUCGCGAGAAUUAAAACUAACAAAUAGAAGUUAGUACGGUACGUGAGACGUAGCCGAACGGACGACGACGAGGGAGGAGG